UUCUCGGAGGGGGACGUCAGCUGCUCUCUGAACAUCACCGACGAAAUGAAGAGGAUGUUCAAUCAUUUCAGGCGGGAGACCUUCGACUUUGAUGACGACUGCGACAGCUUGACUUGGGAGGAAAACGAAGACACCCUGCUCCUCUGGGAAGACUUUACCAACUGCAACCCCACCGUGGAGCUCCAAGGAGAGCAAGAGGAGAACCUGGGAAACCU
Molecule: non-coding RNA, 215 nt
Organism: Notechis scutatus (mainland tiger snake)
Lineage: Eukaryota; Metazoa; Chordata; Lepidosauria; Squamata; Elapidae
Source: RefSeq, a predicted model, not a curated record